AUGACAAGUCAAUCUUGGGUGGCUGACAAGGCAGCAACUAUGCUUAAGAAAGAUCCAACCAUUGGUGCUGUGAAGAUACUUAAAGAGUUACAGGAAGAGCAUCAUGUCACACUUGACUAUAACACAGUGUGGAAAGGCAAACAAAAGGCAGCAACCAGCUUGUAUGGGAGUUGGGAAGAAAGUUUCAGGAUGUUGUACAACUACAAGGCCGAGAUAGAAUUGAGGUCUCCAGGGAGUAUUGUAGAGAUUGAUACAACCACAAGUGAAGGUGAAGUACAUUUCAGCAAGCUAUUUAUUUCUUUCAAGCCAUGCAUAGAUGGGUUUCUGAAUGGAUGUAGGCCAUAUAUCAGCAUAGACUCAACUCACUUAAAUGGCAAGUGGAAAGGUCAGCUAGCUGUAGUCACUGCUUUGGACGGUCACAAUUGGAUGUUCCCGGUGGCGUAUGGCUUUAUUGAGUCUGAAAAUGGAGAAAAUUGGGCUUGGUUCAUGAAUCAAGUGAAGAAGGCAAUAGGGGACCCUCCAGUACUGGCUGUUUGUACGGAUGCUUGCAAGGGUCUUGAAAAUGCUGUUAAAAAGGUUUUCCCUCAAGCUGAGCAGCGUGAGUGCUUUAGGCAUAUGUGGCAUAAUUUUCAGAAAUAUUUUCAUGGUGAUGUGUUUGGACAGUUGUGGCCUGCUGCUAGGGCAUAUAGGGCGGAAGAAUAUCAACAUCACAUGACAAAGGUGUUUGAGGCAUCUGAGAAAGCGUAUCCUUACCUUAGGGAUUACCAUAAUCUGUUAUGGAUGAGGUGCAUGUUCAAUCCUGACAUCAAGUGUGACUACAUAAAUAACAAUCUUGCUGAGUGCUUUAAUUCUUGGGUGCGAGAAAUCAAGGACUUGCCGAUUGUUCAGCUAGCUGAUAAGAUUAGAGAGAUGAUUAUGGACCUAUUUAGAAAGAGGAGAAUGAUUGGAGAGAAAUUGGUAGGGAAAAUACUGCCAUUUGUCAUACACCAAUUAAAUGCAAAGACUCGAGGACUAGGACAUCUCAAGGCUAAAGCAUCAGCUGAUUGGAGUGGAGAAGUGAAAAAUGAUAACAAAGGGGAUGAAAGACAUGUCGUCAAAACACUCACACAUGAGUGUACAUGUCUGCAAUGGCAGCACACAGGCAAGCCUUGUGACCAUGCACUAGCCUUCAUAAAUGUUUUGCAAGCUCGCAACUUUGUGAACAUGGAGGAUUAUGUGCACGAGUACUACUCAGUUAGCAGAUUCAGGGUAGCAUAUGAAGGUGUAAUUGAGCCCCUUACGGACAAGAAUCAGUGGCCACAUGUUGAUACAGGCUUUGUGUUGCGUCCACCAAUUCCAAAAGGCAAGAAAAAAGGUGCUGGAAGAACAAGAAAACAGAGGAUGAAGAGUUGGUGGGAAGGUGGAUCAAGGAAGGGAUCAUUGAACAAAUGCAACAAAUGCGGGGACGUAGGACAUAGAGAAGCCGGCUGUCCUCAAAAUGGAACAAAGAAACGGAAAAGUAUGGGGAAAAAGAAUCCAUCUCCAUGGUUUGAUGUCUCAGUUAGCAAUGUGAUUCCAUCUACACCAAUCAAGAGCAAGAAUGUCGCCACUUGUAGCAGUCCUGGAGCUGUGACAAGAAGCCAAGCGGCAUCUCAAGCUAGUCCUGGAGCUGUCACAAGGAGCCAAGCAACAUCUGAAGCUGCUACUCCACCACCAAAGUCUCCAGCAAAAGGAAAGAAGAAGAAAAUGACUCCAAAGAGGAAGAAAUUAAGCGAUCUGUGA
RNAcentral lists this ribosomal RNA (1761 nucleotides) under Triticum aestivum (bread wheat). RNAcentral describes it as "partial small subunit ribosomal RNA". The record is from RNAcentral. Lineage: Eukaryota; Viridiplantae; Streptophyta; Magnoliopsida; Poales; Poaceae.